CAAUAGGAGUGAGGUUUUUGUACGGGCAGUGAUAGGGAUUGUAUCACUGUGGUACACAUUUGGUGGUGGUACCAGACUGGAUGUUGGAAGCAACCGUGCCCCCACCCUGACGGUGCUGCCCCCCUCCAGUGAGGAACUGUCCAGUAAGAGUACAGCCACGCUGAUGUGUCUGGCCAACAAGGGCUUCCCCUCAGACUGGACCCUCAGCUGGAAGGUGGACGGGAGCAGCAAGAAGAGCCAGGAGGCCAGCAGGGGGCUCCUGGAGAAGGACGGCCAGUACAGCUGGAGCAGCACCCUGACUCUCACUGCCCAGGAGUGGGCCAGCGUGCUGGAGGUGACCUGUGAGGCCCACCAGAGCUCCCAGCCUACGGUCACUCACACCCUGAAGAGAGAGCAGUGUUCUGAGUAGCCCCAGGCUCACACAGCCCUGUGGAGAGGGGCUGCUUCCUCUGCUGGGACUCUGUUCUGUGCUCAGCCAUUCUCUGUCCCCCAGAUGGCUCACAUGCAGACUAACAGGGAGCUUUGCUAGAGUCCACGUGUCGCUACUGUUUGUAGACUGAGGUUUUAUCAGUGCUAAAGUUGCUGCUUUUGGUCACUAUUCACUCUGUUAGUUGGCUUUGCUUUGUUGCUGGAAUGUUGUUAUUUUAUGGGACAAUAAAGAUUUCUUGUUGAACUUGAAA
Molecule: non-coding RNA, 680 nt
Organism: Hypomesus transpacificus
Lineage: Eukaryota; Metazoa; Chordata; Actinopteri; Osmeriformes; Osmeridae
Source: the annotation of a RefSeq genome assembly